This 382-nucleotide ribosomal RNA is filed under the name uncultured bacterium. RNAcentral's name for it is "bacterial SSU rRNA". It matches the Rfam family "Bacterial small subunit ribosomal RNA", at positions 29 to 437 of the family's 1533-position model. The record is from RNAcentral.
AACGAACGCUGGCGGCAUGCCUAACACAUGCAAGUCGAACGAGACCUUCGGGUCUAGUGGCGCACGGGUGCGUAACGCGUGGGAAUCUACCCUUCGGUUCGGAAUAACAGUGGGAAACUACUGCUAAUACCGGAUAAUGACGUAAGUCCAAAGAUUUAUCGCCGAAGGAUGAGCCCGCGUAGGAUUAGCUAGUUGGUGGGGUAAAGGCCUACCAAGGCGACGAUCCUUAGCUGGUCUGAGAGGAUGAUCAGCCACACUGGGACUGAGACACGGCCCAGACUCCUACGGGGAGGCAGCAGUGGGGAAUAUUGGACAAUGGGCGAAAGCCUGAUCCAGCAAUGCCGCGUGAGUGAUGAAGGCCUUAGGGUUGUAAAGCUCUUUU